CGUAGCAACAGCAGCAUGGCUAAACGCAAGUACGACAGCGAGGACAUUAAAUAUGGAUUUUCCUACAUCGAAGACAAAGGAGUCCAAAAGCCUCAGUGUAUUUUGUGUUGUGAGGUACUGGCAAGUGAAAGCAUGAAGCAUGAAUAAACUUUUCGAGCGGUUUAGCGACUACUUUCCCGAUAAACAACCCGAGGACGACUGGGUGCGCGACACGUUUGGAAUAAACAUGGAAAGCAUCACGUUGCCUAGCAGCGAUGAAUGUGAGCUGGUGGAGCUAUCAUGUGACCGCACUCUCAGAAAGAAAUUCACAGAGGUAUUAGACUACACAUAAUGUCAACAAACCUGGAACCACGGUAACAUAUCAGGACCUGACCUGGACAAAAAGGACUUUUAAUGACUUCUUCACAGUGAUAUGGAAGAUAAUAAAGAGGGCUGAUGAAAAGGAGAGCGGAGACAGGCUACUUCAUGUCUGAGCACAAAUGAGACUCACCUGCUGGCGAUUUGGAAAGCAGGUAAUAACAACACUAUAAUAAAGACACAAACACACACAGAGAUUCUUGGGUUGUGUUUGCUUUGCCAAACCAACUUUAUUCUUUAUCAAAAUGUCAUUAGUUCCAGCAUUGAAAGUUAUUAUGGUAACUGUGAAUAUACAUACUUGUAAACAAGCCAGACUAUCCUGCUUUGUGUCGUUUUCCUGCUUACUGAAGUGAAUGUGACAUGUGCUUUAAUGUUGAGUCCUGGUAGAGCAUGAAGUCACCAUCAUCAUCAUCAAGGGGGUUAUCUUUUUGGUCCAGUCUGUUUGUGAAAAAGUACACACACACAAACUAUAUUAGAAAACUUGGCAACAUAUAGUCAGUUUCCAGUUUUUUUUACAUAUGCAUAGCUAAGAUGAAUGCAGUCUAAUGCUGCAGCACUGCAAUAAAUCCUGCCAUCAUAAAGGUAAUAAUGAUUUAUUCUAGUUGACUCUUUUAGACCUAUCUUACAUUAUCAUGGAUGUUAAAAACAAAACAAAUCUGCCCACACACCUAUCAGUUUUACACAUUAACUCCAUACACACUAGAAUGCAAAAAAUGACCACAAUGAAGCAUGCCGGGACAGUCCACAUACUGGAUAUGUCAAAUAUCACAGAAGAACACUGUGUUAUUUUUAUUGUUUCUGUGUACUUUGAACUACAGAAUCUCAUGCUGGAAACAUUAGAUGCAGAGACUGUGCCAGUGAAGCGGUGCAGCAAUGCCAACUUGCAUUGUAAGCUUGUAAUGUCUGUUUGUCUAAUUAUGCAAACUAAUUGUAAUGAAAAGUUUGAGAAAAAUCACACUUUGAGUGACCUAAAAUGUUGUUUGUUAGCGGAUGAGUGCCCCAGAUAUAGAGGAAAAUGUUUGUUUUGAAAUAUUUCUGUAUUUGGCCCAGAGAGUUGUUGAUUAAACUGUAUUCUCAG
Molecule: long non-coding RNA, 1435 nt
Organism: Amphiprion ocellaris (clown anemonefish)
Lineage: Eukaryota; Metazoa; Chordata; Actinopteri; Pomacentridae
Exons: 3
Source: RefSeq, a predicted model, not a curated record